Long non-coding RNA from Prosopis cineraria, 501 nucleotides. RefSeq lists it as uncharacterized. Lineage: Eukaryota; Viridiplantae; Streptophyta; Magnoliopsida; Fabales; Fabaceae. The transcript is spliced from 2 exons. The record is from RefSeq and is a predicted model, not a curated record.
UGUAAGACCAGUUCUUGCAUCGUCUCUUGGGCUUGGCAUCUCUGCUGCGCUUCUGUUGGUGAUGGGUUCUCGUUUCAAGAGAUCAGGGAAGAUAUUUCCUGCAGGUGUUGUAUCACUUGUGUCUUUCGUAUGACUGGUGGUUACUUUCAUGGAAUUCUACGUAGUGUGCACUAGCAUGUGGAAUGAUGGAGAUGAGGCUGUAGGUAAACUUUGCUGGAAACUCAUCUCCUCCGGUUAUAAAGUGUGUGUUUUGAAGUAUAGCCUUUGUUAUGAAAUAAGGAUGUCAGUUCGAACCUCAUUUGGACCUCGAGUUCCUUCUUUUCCCUUUGCUUUUGGAAGAAAGUAACAUAUGCCUAAUGGGGUUGUAUUUGAAGACGAUAUCCAUAUGUGCAUAUAAAAAAAAUUAGUUUUCUGCAGUGUAUUAGCAUUUCAUUUUAAAAGCAUCUGUAUAAGAAAUACUUGCUCUGUUUCAGAAUAGUUCUUUCUAAAAAUAUUGUUUCA